Molecule: ribosomal RNA, 691 nt
Filed under: uncultured bacterium
Lineage: Bacteria
Description: bacterial SSU rRNA
Rfam family: Bacterial small subunit ribosomal RNA
Source: RNAcentral
AGAGUUUGAUCCUGGCUCAGAUUGAACGCUGGCGGCAGGCCUAACACAUGCAAGUCGAACGGUAGCACAGAGAGCUUGCUCUCGGGUGACGAGUGGCGGACGGGUGAGUAAUGUCUGGGAAACUGCCUGAUGGAGGGGGAUAACUACUGGAAACGGUAGCUAAUACCGCAUAACGUCGCAAGACCAAAGAGGGGGACCUUCGGGCCUCUUGCCAUCAGAUGUGCCCAGAUGGGAUUAGCUAGUAGGUGGGGUAACGGCUCACCUAGGCGACGAUCCCUAGCUGGUCUGAGAGGAUGACCAGCCACACUGGAACUGAGACACGGUCCAGACUCCUACGGGAGGCAGCAGUGGGGAAUAUUGCACAAUGGGCGCAAGCCUGAUGCAGCCAUGCCGCGUGUAUGAAGAAGGCCUUCGGGUUGUAAAGUACUUUCAGCGGGGAGGAAGGUGUUGUGGUUAAUAACCACAGCAAUUGACGUUACCCGCAGAAGAAGCACCGGCUAACUCCGUGCCAGCAGCCGCGGUAAUACGGAGGGUGCAAGCGUUAAUCGGAAUUACUGGGCGUAAAGCGCACGCAGGCGGUCUGUCAAGUCGGAUGUGAAAUCCCCGGGCUCAACCUGGGAACUGCAUUCGAAACUGGCAGGCUGGAGUCUUGUAAAGGGGGGUAGAAUUCCAGGUGUAGCGGUGAAAUGCG